UACAACUCCGAGAGCAUCCAACACACCAAGUAACAAUUCAUCAAAUGUUGCUGUGAGGCGGUGAAGUUAAUGCUGACACAGUGUCGGGAAAAGGACCCUUUUCUCCUGAAUUGACAACCAUUGUCGUAAUGAAUAUUUAACCAACGGUACAGAAAUGGUUGUUCAGAGCCAGCUACGCGUAAUUUGGUGCCAUUUGAUGGCUAGGCAAAGUAAAUUUGUAUCCAAAGUCGUCUGGACGUCCAAAAGAUGCGGUGUGGGAUAAUACAAUCGAUCUAUAUGUUUAUUAACAUGCUACCCGUAUCGAUAAUUCAAUAGCUGUUCUUCAAUCAGGGCACAGAUGGUUAAAGACACAGUGAAACAUUCAACCAAUCAAGAAACGACCGCUGUAACGCUAAUGGUUCUUUUUGAAUAGCUGACGGAGUGCCUGGAUGGAUGCAACCUGGAUGGACAAGCAACACCAUGAAAUAGUCAAAACGGUUGUUCAUGCACGGAAGUGGAUAUUAAAUGAAAUCUACGCGUAAUUUGGUGCCAUUUGUUGGCUAACCAAAUCAAAAAGGCAGUCUAAGUGUACUUCACAUCCAGGAGAUGGCUCGGGACAUUUAGCCUACAGAUGGAGUUAAUCAUUCAGCGUAUCAAGAAACGAACAAAAAUGCUUAUGAUGUAUCGACAAGGACACAAGAAUGAAUCUUUUUUCUCACCUGGAAGCAACGGUGAACUAUGAAAGCAGUAAGCUAAAUCUUUCUUUCGUGUGUAAUCCCAAACAAAAGUCCCAACACUAAUUAUAGCUGUUUAAGGCAUGCAGCAUAAUUUACAGUUCUAUCGAUGUCCGUAAUGACGUAUGGUAGGUGAAAUACAAUCGGUGAAAUACAAAAAUACAAAUACGAUUAUCCUUGUUACGACACAGAUACGAAUAAUCGCCAACUCGCCAAGGGAAUGUAGAUCACUCUCCAUGAUAUAGAAUCAGAUAUAACAAGAGGCUGUGUAAGAAAAAUGUCUGAUGCUAUUAAUAAUGUGACGAAAGUAAAAAUGUAAGCGCCUAGCCUUUUUAUUGUAAGUAAAUAAAAUAAAUUAAGUAUAAUUUAAGUUCUGGUUAAGUUGUUAUUUUUUAAAUACGACCAGUGGAAGUUAUAAAUCUAAAGAAACUUGGAAGCAAUUCAUUCUAUGGUCACUUACUUACAAAUAUUCGUUGGUCUACCUAUUUUAAUUUUACUGAACCUAUUCCGGUAAUAGCUUGUGAGGUUACAAUACAAUACAACUAUACAAUACAAGUACAAUAGUUCCUAAUUUGUUCCUAUUGGACAGA
Anopheles moucheti is the source of this 1303-nucleotide long non-coding RNA. RefSeq lists it as uncharacterized. Lineage: Eukaryota; Metazoa; Arthropoda; Insecta; Diptera; Culicidae. The transcript is spliced from 6 exons. The record is from RefSeq and is a predicted model, not a curated record.